RNAcentral lists this ribosomal RNA (981 nucleotides) under uncultured bacterium. Its description in RNAcentral is "bacterial SSU rRNA". It matches the Rfam family "Bacterial small subunit ribosomal RNA", at positions 510 to 1502 of the family's 1533-position model. The record is from RNAcentral.
AGCAGCCGCGGUAAUACGAAGGGACCUAGCGUAGUUCGGAAUUACUGGGCUUAAAGAGUUCGUAGGUGGUUGAAAAAGUUGGUGGUGAAAUCCCAGAGCUUAACUCUGGAACUGCCAUCAAAACUUUUCAGCUAGAGUUUGAUAGAGGAAAGCAGAAUUUCUAGUGUAGAGGCGAAAUUCGUAGAUAUUAGAAAGAAUACCAAUUGCGAAGGCAGCUUUCUGGAUCAUUACUGACACUGAGGAACGAAAGCAUGGGUAGCGAAGAGGAUUAGAUACCCUCGUAGUCCAUGCCGUAAACGAUGUGUGUUAGACGUUGGAAAUUUAUUUUCAGUGUCGCAGCGAAAGCGAUAAACACACCGCCUGGGGAGUACGACCGCAAGGUUAAAACUCAAAUGAAUUGACGGGGACCCGCACAAGUAGUGGAGCAUGUGGUUUAAUUCGAAGAUACGCGCAGAUCCUUACCAACACUUGACAUGUUCGUCACGACUUUAAGAGAUUAAAGUUUUCGGUUCGGCCGGACGAAACACAGGUGCUGCAUGGCUGUCGUCAGCUCGUGUCGUGAGAUGUUGGGUUAAGUCCCGCAACGAGCGCAACCCUCACUUUUAGUUGCCAUCAUUUAGUUGGGCACUCUGAAAGAACUGCCAGUGAUAAGCUGGAGGAAGGUGGGGAUGACGUCAAGUCCUCAUGGCCCUUACGUGUUGGGCUACACACGUGCUACAAUGGUAUCUACAACAGGAAGCAAAACAGCGAUGUUAAGCAAAUCCUUAAAAGAUACCUCAGUUCGGAUUGCACUCUGCAACUCGAGUGCAUGAAGCUGGAAUUACUAGUAAUCGUGGAUCAGCGUGCCACGGUGAAUGCGUUCCCGGGUCUUGUACACACCGCCCGUCACACCAUGGGAGUUGGUUCUACCUUAAGGCAAGGUUUUAUACCCUUGACCACGGUAUAGUCAGCGACUGGGGUGAAGUCGUAACAAGGUAGCCG